CCUACGGGUGGCAGCAGUGGGGAAUAUUGCACAAUGGGGGAAACCCUGAUGCAGCGACGCCGCGUGAGUGAAGAAGUAAUUCGUUACGUAAAGCUCUAUCAGCAGGGAAGAAACACUGACCUUACGGUCAGCAGACGGUACCUGAGUAAGAAGCCCCGGCUAACUACGUGCCAGCAGCCGCGGGAAUACGGAGGGGGCAAGCGUUAUCCGGAUUUACUGGGUGUAAAGGGUGCGUAGACGGCCAAGCAAGCCAGGGGUGAAAGCCCGGGGCCCAACCCCGGGACUGCCCUUGGAACUGCAUGGCUGGAGUGCGGGAGAGGCAGGCGGAAUUCCUGGUGUAGCGGUGAAAUGCGUAGAUAUCAGGAGGAACACCGACGGCGAAGGCGGCCUGCUGGACCGCGACUGACGUUGAGGCUCGAAAGCGUGGGGAGCGAACAGGAUUAGAUACCCUUGUAGUC
This 458-nucleotide ribosomal RNA is filed under the name uncultured bacterium. RNAcentral describes it as "partial 16S ribosomal RNA". It matches the Rfam family "Bacterial small subunit ribosomal RNA", at positions 338 to 795 of the family's 1533-position model. The record is from RNAcentral.